Molecule: ribosomal RNA, 111 nt
Filed under: Caerostris darwini
Lineage: Eukaryota; Metazoa; Arthropoda; Arachnida; Araneae; Araneidae
Source: RNAcentral
ACGGCCAUACCAUGCUGAAUAUAUCGGUUCUCAUUAGAUCACCGAAGUCAAGCAUCAUUGGGCGCGGCCAGUACUUGGGCGGGUGACCAAAUGGGAACACCGCGUGCCGUU